Molecule: ribosomal RNA, 452 nt
Filed under: Enterococcus avium
Lineage: Bacteria; Bacillati; Bacillota; Bacilli; Lactobacillales; Enterococcaceae
Description: bacterial SSU rRNA
Rfam family: Bacterial small subunit ribosomal RNA
Source: RNAcentral
AGAAAAGGAGUGGCGAACGGGUGAGUAACACGUGGGUAACCUGCCCAUCAGAAGGGGAUAACACUUGGAAACAGGUGCUAAUACCGUAUAACAAUCGAAACCGCAUGGUUUCGGUUUGAAAGGCGCUUUUGCGUCACUGAUGGAUGGACCCGCGGUGCAUUAGCUAGUUGGUGAGGUAACGGCUCACCAAGGCAACGAUGCAUAGCCGACCUGAGAGGGUGAUCGGCCACAUUGGGACUGAGACACGGCCCAAACUCCUACGGGAGGCAGCAGUAGGGAAUCUUCGGCAAUGGACGCAAGUCUGACCGAGCAACGCCGCGUGAGUGAAGAAGGUUUUCGGAUCGUAAAACUCUGUUGUUAGAGAAGAACAAGGAUGAGAGUAAAAUGUUCAUCCCUUGACGGUAUCUAACCAGAAAGCCACGGCUAACUACGUGCCAGCAGCCGCGGUAAUA